Molecule: ribosomal RNA, 520 nt
Filed under: uncultured bacterium
Lineage: Bacteria
Description: bacterial SSU rRNA
Rfam family: Archaeal small subunit ribosomal RNA
Source: RNAcentral
AACCUCCGCAAUGUGAGAAAUCGCGACGGGGGGAUCCCAAGUGCCAUUCUUAACGGGAUGGCUUUUCAUUAGUGUAAAGAGCUUUUGGAAUAAGGGCUGGGCAAGACCGGUGCCAGCCGCCGCGGUAACACCGGCAGCUCUAGUGGUAGCAGUUUUUAUUGGGCCUAAAGCGUCCGUAGCCGGUUUAAUAAGUCUCUGGUGAAAUCCUGUAGCUUAACUGUGGGAAUUGCUGGAGAUACUAUUAGACUUGAGACCGGGAGAGGUUAGAGGUACUCCCAGGGUAGAGGUGAAAUUCUGUAAUCCUGGGAGGACCGCCUGUUGCGAAGGCGUCUAACUGGAACGGUUCUGACGGUGAGGGACGAAAGUUAGGGGCGCGAACCGGAUUAGAUACCCGGGUAGUCCUAACUGUAAACGAUGCGGACUUGGUGUUGGGGUGGCUUUGAGCUGCUCCAGUGCCGAAGGGAAGCUGUUAAGUCGCCGCCUGGGAAGUACGGUCGCAAGACUGAAACUUAAAGGAAUU